Molecule: ribosomal RNA, 257 nt
Filed under: Mycobacterium sp.
Lineage: Bacteria; Bacillati; Actinomycetota; Actinomycetes; Mycobacteriales; Mycobacteriaceae
Description: partial 16S ribosomal RNA
Rfam family: Bacterial small subunit ribosomal RNA
Source: RNAcentral
UCUCAGUUCGGAUUGGGGUCUGCAACUCGACCCCAUGAAGUCGGAGUCGCUAGUAAUCGCAGAUCAGCAACGCUGCGGUGAAUACGUUCCCGGGCCUUGUACACACCGCCCGUCACGUCAUGAAAGUCGGUAACACCCGAAGCCAGUGGCCUAACCCUUGGGAGGGAGCUGUCGAAGGUGGGAUCGGCGAUUGGGACGAAGUCGUAACAAGGUAGCCGUACCGGAAGGUGCGGCUGGAUCACCUCCUUUCUAAGGAG